This 324-nucleotide ribosomal RNA is filed under the name uncultured eukaryote. RNAcentral's name for it is "partial 18S ribosomal RNA". It matches the Rfam family "Eukaryotic small subunit ribosomal RNA", at positions 1470 to 1796 of the family's 1831-position model. The record is from RNAcentral.
CCCUUAGAUGUCCUGGGCUGCACGCGCGCUACACUGAUGUGUCCAGUAAGCACCUAACCUAUUCCGAGAGGAGCGGGUAACCUUAGCAAAGCACAUCGUGAUGGGGAUAGAUUAUUGCAAUUAUUAGUCUUGAACGAGGAAUUCCUAGUAAGCACAAGUCAUCAGCUUGUGUUGAUUACGUCCCUGCCCUUUGUACACACCGCCCGUCGCUCCUACCGAUUGAAUGUUCCGGUGAGCUCUUCGGACUGCGCGGUCUGCAGUUUCUGCGUUCCGUGCGGAAAGUUGUGCAAACCUUAACAUUGAGAGGAAGGAGAAGGCGGAACA